CCUACGGGAGGCAGCAGUGGGGAAUAUUGGACAAUGGGCGAAAGCCUGAUCCAGCAAUGCCGCGUGAGUGAUGAAGGCCUUAGGGUUGUAAAGCUCUUUUACCAGGGAUGAUAAUGACAGUACCUGGAGAAUAAGCUCCGGCUAACUCCGUGCCAGCAGCCGCGGUAAUACGGAGGGAGCUAGCGUUGUUCGGAAUUACUGGGCGUAAAGCGUACGUAGGCGGUUAUUCAAGUCAGAGGUGAAAGCCUGGAGCUCAACUCCAGAACUGCCUUUGAAACUAGAUAGCUAGAAUCACGGAGAGGUUAGUGGAAUUCCGAGUGUAGAGGUGAAAUUCGUAGAUAUUCGGAAGAACACCAGUGGCGAAGGCGACUAACUGGACGUGUAUUGACGCUGAGGUACGAAAGCGUGGGGAGCAAACAGGAUUAGAUACCCUGGUAGUCCACGCCGUAAACGAUGAUAACUAGCUGUUCGGUCUCUACGAGACUGAGUGGCGCAGCUAACGCAUUAAGUUAUCCGCCUGGGGAGUACGGUCGCAAGAUUAAAACUCAAAGGAAUUGACGG
This 561-nucleotide ribosomal RNA is filed under the name uncultured bacterium. RNAcentral's name for it is "bacterial SSU rRNA". It matches the Rfam family "Bacterial small subunit ribosomal RNA", at positions 338 to 916 of the family's 1533-position model. The record is from RNAcentral.